RNAcentral lists this ribosomal RNA (693 nucleotides) under uncultured bacterium. RNAcentral describes it as "bacterial SSU rRNA". It matches the Rfam family "Bacterial small subunit ribosomal RNA", at positions 8 to 747 of the family's 1533-position model. The record is from RNAcentral.
AGAGUUUGAUCCUGGCUCAGAACGAACGCUGGCGGCAGGCCUAACACAUGCAAGUCGAGCGAUCCUUUCGGGGAUAGCGGCGGACGGGUGAGUAACGCGUGGGAACGUGCCCUCUUCUCCGGAAUAGCCCAUGGAAACGUGGAUUAAUGCCGGAUACGCCCUUUUGGGGAAAGAUUUAUCGGAGGAGGAUCGGCCCGCGUUGGAUUAGGUAGUUGGUGGGGUAAUGGCCUACCAAGCCGACGAUCCAUAGCUGGUUUGAGAGGAUGAUCAGCCACACUGGGACUGAGACACGGCCCAGACUCCUACGGGAGGCAGCAGUGGGGAAUCUUAGACAAUGGGGGAAACCCUGAUCUAGCCAUGCCGCGUGAGCGAUGAAGGCCUUAGGGUUGUAAAGCUCUUUCGCCUGGGAAGAUAAUGACGGUACCAGGUAAAGAAGCCCCGGCUAACUCCGUGCCAGCAGCCGCGGUAAUACGGAGGGGGCUAGCGUUGUUCGGAAUUACUGGGCGCAAAGCGCGCGUAGGCGGGCUGGAAAGUUGGGGGUGAAAUCCCGGGGCUCAACCCCGGAACUGCCCUCAAAACUAUCAGUCUGGAGUUCGAGAGAGGUGAGUGGAAUUCCGAGUGUAGAGGUGAAAUCCGUAGAUAUUCGGAGGAACACCGGUGGCGAAGGCGGCUCACUGGCUCGAUACUGACGCU